GCGAGCGUGGCGGAACUGGCUAGACGCGCAGGACUUGUUGGGAUCGCUCGUCAGCCGCCUGCAAGGCCGUGAGGGUUCAACUCCCUCCGCUCGCA
RNAcentral lists this transfer RNA (95 nucleotides) under Persephonella sp. Its description in RNAcentral is "tRNA-OTHER". It matches the Rfam family "tRNA". Rfam says of the family: Transfer RNA (tRNA) molecules are approximately 80 nucleotides in length. Their secondary structure includes four short double-helical elements and three loops (D, anti-codon, and T loops). The record is from RNAcentral. Lineage: Bacteria; Pseudomonadati; Aquificota; Aquificia; Aquificales; Hydrogenothermaceae.